GGAAGGACCUUAGCUUAGUGGUAGAGCAUCUGCUUUGCAUGCAGAAGGUCCAAGAUCCAGUCCUUGACAUCUCUCCA
Non-coding RNA from Podarcis lilfordi (Lilford's wall lizard), 77 nucleotides. The record is from the annotation of a GenBank genome assembly. Lineage: Eukaryota; Metazoa; Chordata; Lepidosauria; Squamata; Lacertidae.